RNAcentral lists this ribosomal RNA (381 nucleotides) under uncultured bacterium. RNAcentral describes it as "partial 16S ribosomal RNA". It matches the Rfam family "Bacterial small subunit ribosomal RNA", at positions 355 to 724 of the family's 1533-position model. The record is from RNAcentral.
UGGGGAAUUUUGGACAAUGGGCGAAAGCCUGAUCCAGCAAUGCCGCGUGUGUGAAGAAGGCCUUCGGGUUGUAAAGCACUUUUGUCCGGAAAGAAAUCCUUGGCUCUAAUACAGUCGGGGGAUGACGGUACCGGAAGAAUAAGCACCGGCUAACUACGUGCCAGCAGCCGCGGUAAUACGUAGGGUGCAAGCGUUAAUCGGAAUUACUGGGCGUAAAGCGUGCGCAGGCGGUUUGCUAAGACCGAUGUGAAAUCCCCGGGCUCAAACCUGGGGAACUGCAUUGGUGACUGGCAGGCUAGAGUAUGGCAGAGGGGGGUAGAAUUCCACGUGUAGCAGUGAAAGUGCGUAGAGAUGGUGGAGGAAUACCGAUGGCGAAGGCAG